Molecule: ribosomal RNA, 492 nt
Filed under: uncultured bacterium
Lineage: Bacteria
Description: partial 16S ribosomal RNA
Rfam family: Bacterial small subunit ribosomal RNA
Source: RNAcentral
GACGAACGCUGGCGGCGUGCCUAACACAUGCAAGUUGAGCGACGAACCAGGGCUUGCCCUGGGGCAAAGCAGCGAACGGGUGAGUAACACGUGGGUAACCUACCCCGAUAACCGGGACAACCCGAGGAAACUCGGGCUAAUACCGGAUGUGCUCACUGGACUUCGGUUCAGUGCGUAAAGGAAGCUUCGGCCUCCGUAUCGGGAGGGGCCCGCGGCCCAUUAGUUUGUUGGUGAGGUAACGGCUCACCAAGACCGCGAUGGGUAGCUGGUCUGAGAGGACGAUCAGCCACACUGGGACUGAGACACGGCCCAGACUCCUACGGGAGGCAGCAGUGGGGAAUCUUGCGCAGUGCGCGAAAGCGUGACGCAGCAACGCCGCGUGGGGGAAGAAGGCCUUCGGGUUGUAAACCCCUUUCAGGAGGGACGAAGGUUCGGCGGUGAAUAGCCGUCCGGACUGACGGUACCUCCACAAGAAGCCCCGGCUAACUACGU